GUAAUAAUAAUGGUAAUAAGGGUAGUAAUGUCACUAAUAAGGGUAGUAAUGUUACUAAUAAGGAUAGUACUACUACUAAUGGUGCUAGUGCUACCGCUAAUGGUGUCAGUAAUGGCAAUAGUGCUAGUACUACCAAUAGCCCCAGUACUACCAAUAGUGCCAGUACUACCAAUAGUACCAGUACUACUAAUAGUACCAGUACUACUAAUAGUACCAGUAGUACUACUAAUAGUAGUAAUACUACUACGCAUAAUGGUUAUAAAAAUAAUGUCUCUUUUACUAUUAGUAAUAACAAAAUCGAUAAUGACAAUACAAAUGAACAUAAACAAGCUUUAGAAAAUGAAAAAAAAAAAAACAAAAGCAGUAAUUUUUUAAAAAAUAUUUUUUUGAAAAAGAAUAAUUUAACUUAUAUAAAUUUUAUGAAGGAUAUUUAUAGCAUAAUGUCAUCUGAUUCUGGUGAAAGUAACAUAAAAAAGAAUAAAAAUGAAUAUAAUAUAAAGAGUGAAAAAAUCAAAACAGCUAAAAACCGACAUAAUACUUAUUUGUUUUUGAAAAAUGAAGAUACUCAACUCGAGGGUGAUACAACUAGUGACAGUGAUAGCACAUUGUAUAUGUCUAGUGACAUGAACAAUUAUGUUAACAAAUUUAAUAAAAAUGUAAAAUUAGGUAAUGCUUUUAUUGAUACUAAUACCAUCAAAAAAAAAGAAAAUAGUAUGUCUAAAUAUGACAAUUCGUUAUUUAAUGGUUAUAAUUUUUUUGAUAAUAAUACAAAACAUAAUAAUGAUAUUAAUUCUGAAGAAUCUAAUGAUUUUUAUAAAGACGUAUAUGUUGAUGUUUGUUUACAAGAGUGUGCUACAGAAUGUGCUGGCGCAUGCCUAAAAGAAUGUGUUUCCGAAUGCGCAACUGAAUAUGUAGAUGUAUGUCUACAUGAGAGCACAAACGAAGUAAACAUCGACUAUUAUAAUAAAACAAAUUUAAACGACACAUAUUGUCCAGAUGAUAUAAGUUUUAAUAAAAACGAUAUGAACAAUUUUAAAUGUUUUGAUAAGAAUAAUGACUAUAAUAAAGUAUUAACAGUUUUUGAAAAUAAGUGUGUUUCUGUUCCUAUAGAUUCGAAUAAUGAUAAAAAAAACAUAUUUUUUUUUAAUAAUACUAACAGAAAAGAUAAUAACACAUAUGUUGAGGAUGAUGCAUUUUAUACACCUCUUGAUAAUAGGACAAAUGAAAAUAGUACUGCUUAUAAAAAAAAUUCCAAUUUAAUGAAUGAUAUCAAUUUUGAGUAUACAGUGGGUUAUCAUAAUAAUUUAUAUAAUAAAAUUAUGUAUACUGAAGAUAGAACAGUUGAUAUGUCUGACGUGGUUAAAUAUGAUUGUAGUACUAAAGACAAUAAUAAUAAAAAUAGUAGUUUUAAUAAAAUUAAUUAUUGUAAUUUGGAAUUUAAUUUAGAACCAGAGUUAGAGCAUAUGUGUAAGAAGUUGUUGAAACCAUGUUAUGAGGAAGAGUGUUGUAAUGAUAAAACUGAUAAUACUACUACAGUAAAUGAAAGUGUGUUAUUACAGAAAGAAACAGAAAAUGAUCCUAUUAUAUUUAAAAAUAAUAAUACUAAAAACUUGUGGGUAUAUAAUAAUAAUAUAAAUAAUAAUUUAAAAAGUGUUGAAACUGGUAUUAUUACAAAUAGUAACAGUUUUUCUGGAUCUUUAAAAGAUAACAACAAUAAAAAUGUUUGGAGCAUGUGUUAUAAUAGUAGCAAUGGUGUUGGAGUUAAUAAUAAAAAUUGUAAUGGUAAUAAUGUUACUACUGAUAGUAGUGUUACUAUUAUUAAUAAUAUAAGACCUGUUAGUAACAAUAAUAAUAAGAAUGGACGUGACAAUGAAACAUAUAUUAAAAUAAAUAACAGUCAUAAAAGUGAUUUGAUUAAUAAAAAUAAAAAGAAUAUAAAAUAUAAUGUUUGUUAUAAUAAUACAAAUGAUAGUAGUUUCAAUUUUAAAUGCAAGUGUAAAAUCAAAAAUAAAAAUUUCAGUAACAGUAUUAGAAGUAGUAGUAGUAAUAGUAGUAGUGGUAGUAGUAGUAUUGGUAGUACUAGUAAUGGUAGUACUAGUAGUAGUAACAGUAACAGUGGUAGUACUAGUAGUACCACUACAAUUAGUAAUGUUAUGAUGUCCUAUAACAAUUCUAUUGAAGAUAACAGUACAUGUAAUAGGCAUGAACAUGAUGUCCUUUGCGGUGAUACGAACUAUAAUAGUAGUACUGAUUUUUGUAAUGAUUCUGGUAAUGAUUUUAGUAGUUAUAGUACUAAUGACUGUGUUGAUACCACAUUAAAUAUAAAAAAAGACAAUGAACAUAAUAAUAUUUAUAAUAAAAAAGAAAAAGAAGAUACUAUUUUUUGUACAAAAUAUUUUUUAGAUUCUUCUAUUUUUUCAAACAAUACUACAGUUAAUGAAAAUAUAUUCGAAAAUACAACUUUUAACAUAACUGAUAAUAAUAGUACUAUAUAUAGUAGUGAUGGAAGUGAUAAUACUAACAAUAGCGGUAAUGGUCUUUAUGAAAACUUAAAAGAUA
This 2559-nucleotide long non-coding RNA is filed under the name Piliocolobus tephrosceles (Ugandan red Colobus). Its description in RNAcentral is "lncRNA (ENSPTEG00000007367.1)". Lineage: Eukaryota; Metazoa; Chordata; Mammalia; Primates; Cercopithecidae. The record is from RNAcentral.